GAUGAACGCUGGCGGCGUGCUUAACACAUGCAAGUCGAACGGUGAAGCAGAGCUUGCUCUGUGGAUCAGUGGCGAACGGGUGAGUAACACGUGAGCAAUCUGCCCCUGACUCUGGGAUAAGCGCUGGAAACGGCGUCUAAUACUGGAUACGAGCCGUGAAGGCAUCUUCAACGGUUGGAAAGAUUUUUCGGUCAGGGAUGAGCUCGCGGCCUAUCAGCUUGUUGGUGAGGUAAUGGCUCACCAAGGCGUCGACGGGUAGCCGGCCUGAGAGGGUGACCGGCCACACUGGGACUGAGACACGGCCCAGACUCCUACGGGAGGCAGCAGUGGGGAAUAUUGCACAAUGGGCGCAAGCCUGAUGCAGCAACGCCGCGUGAGGGAUGACGGCCUUCGGGUUGUAAACCUCUUUUAGCAGGGAAGAAGCGA
Molecule: ribosomal RNA, 426 nt
Filed under: uncultured Microbacterium sp.
Lineage: Bacteria; Bacillati; Actinomycetota; Actinomycetes; Micrococcales; Microbacteriaceae
Description: bacterial SSU rRNA
Rfam family: Bacterial small subunit ribosomal RNA
Source: RNAcentral